GACGAACGCUGGCGGCGUGGAUUAGGCAUGCAAGUCGAACGGUAGGAUCCUUUCGGGGAUCUGAGAGUGGCGAACGGGUGAGUAACACGUAGGUGAUCUACCCUCAAGACGGGGACAACCCAGGGAAACUUGGGCUAAUACCGGAUGUGAGCAACCUUAGGGUUGUUUGAAAGGUGGCUUCGGCUGCCGCUUGAGGAUGAGCCUGCGUCCUAUUAGCUAGUUGGUGAGGUAACGGCUCACCAAGGCAGUGAUAGGUAGGCGGCCUUAACGGGUGGUCGCCCACACUGGGAUUGAGAUACGGCCCAGACUCCUACGGGAGGCAG
RNAcentral lists this ribosomal RNA (323 nucleotides) under uncultured Spirochaetota bacterium. RNAcentral describes it as "bacterial SSU rRNA". It matches the Rfam family "Bacterial small subunit ribosomal RNA", at positions 28 to 351 of the family's 1533-position model. Lineage: Bacteria; Pseudomonadati; Spirochaetota. The record is from RNAcentral.